AGCUUUGCGCAGUGGCAGUAUCGUAGCCAAUGAGGUUUAUCUGAGGCGCGAUUAUUGCUAAUUGAAAAGAUAACCUCACUUAGACUCUUGCCUUAAAUACUCACAAAUACACAUAUAUGUA
Molecule: small nuclear RNA, 121 nt
Organism: Tupaia belangeri (northern tree shrew)
Lineage: Eukaryota; Metazoa; Chordata; Mammalia; Scandentia; Tupaiidae
Gene: U4
Rfam family: U4 spliceosomal RNA
About the family: U4 small nuclear RNA (U4 snRNA) is a component of the major U2-dependent spliceosome. The structure of U4 snRNA from yeast and human has been reported.
Source: Ensembl